GCCCAUGUGGUGAGGCACGCCAAAAUGCAAAUUUGGAGACGUACCCUAACAGGUGCCGGGGCUUCUCCCGUUUCCCUCCAGACGGGAGAAGC
Molecule: transfer RNA, 92 nt
Filed under: Cyrtodactylus philippinicus
Lineage: Eukaryota; Metazoa; Chordata; Lepidosauria; Squamata; Gekkonidae
Description: tRNA-Cys
Source: RNAcentral